RNAcentral lists this long non-coding RNA (334 nucleotides) under Solanum tuberosum (potato). RNAcentral describes it as "long non-coding RNA (STUB_LNC010810)". Lineage: Eukaryota; Viridiplantae; Streptophyta; Magnoliopsida; Solanales; Solanaceae. The record is from RNAcentral.
CAAUUCCAUUUAUUUGCUAUAUUUAUUUGUUCUGAUCAAUCUGAAUUGCUCGUAUGUCUUAUAGUUUGAAUUACUAUAUUUUUUAUUUCCAAUAUGAAUCUCGGUAUCUAUUGAGAGAAUCAAAUCAAUUAAGCAAAAGCGAUAAAUAUAGGCAUAUUCAAAAAAUCACAUAGUAAUCUUUUUUUUAACAUUCCCAAGAAGUAAACCAUUGACAGUAGUUCCACGGGCAUCGAAAAGGAAGAGUAAACCUCACUGAUUUUUAACGCCUGAACCAUGAUAUGAAAUAAGUCGAUAAAGUCUAAAAAAGUCUAAAUCCAAUUUCAAAAAUUCGAAA